CCUACGGGAGGCAGCAGUGAGGAAUAUUGGUCAAUGGGCGAGAGCCUGAACCAGCCAAGUAGCGUGCAGGAUGACGGCCCUAUGGGUUGUAAACUGCUUUUAUGCGGGGAUAAAGUGAGUCACGUGUGGCUUAUUGCAGGUACCGCAUGAAUAAGGACCGGCUAAUUCCGUGCCAGCAGC
RNAcentral lists this ribosomal RNA (180 nucleotides) under uncultured bacterium. Its description in RNAcentral is "partial 16S ribosomal RNA". It matches the Rfam family "Bacterial small subunit ribosomal RNA", at positions 338 to 515 of the family's 1533-position model. The record is from RNAcentral.